Molecule: long non-coding RNA, 999 nt
Organism: Bolinopsis microptera
Lineage: Eukaryota; Metazoa; Ctenophora; Tentaculata; Lobata; Bolinopsidae
Exons: 4
Source: RefSeq, a predicted model, not a curated record
GUAUUACGACUCAUAUGAUGAUUGUGACAGGCGGUGGUCUUAUUGUGAUUUCUUUUUUAGAAGUGUUAAAAUAAAAGAGAGUUCCGAUGGUAAUGUGCUGUUCCACAGAGGCUCAACCAGUUAUACACAAGAUAGCCAAACAUACUACCCAUCUGUCACAGCAACAGUGGACCUUCCAUCCAACUUGAAUGUGUAUCUCUCCAUGGAGGUAUGGGACAAGGAUGUCAAAUAUGACGACCAUAUUAGAACCAUGAGCAAUAUGGCUCUCACAUUUGAAAACACCAUCAUUGGUCAUAGUUAUUCAACAACUUAUCGUAGUGGUGGUGGACAGUUAACAGUGUACUACAGACUGUUAAGUUGCAACCCUGGAUUCACUGGCACAGGCUGUGCUGAUUGCAUACUAAACUACUACGGGUCACAGUGUAGCACAUACUGUAAGCCUGUCAGUGGAAGCUACACCUGUGAUUCUAACGGAAGGAAGACCUGUGUUGGAAAGAAAGUGGGAUCCGAUUGUCAAGACUGCCAAUCUAACUACUAUCCAGAUGGUCAAUGCGACACAUUUUGUGACCCACAACCGGGAAUAUACACUUGUUCUUCUCUUGGACUAAGAGUACCAGUGAUUUGUUCGGCUGGAGACUACAUGACUGACACUGGAUGUCAGCAAUGUGGAGAGAAUACCUUCAGCAGCGAUAGAGCUUCUUCGUGCAUUGACUGUCCAAAUGGAAAGUUUUCGAAUGCUGGGUCAACAUCUGCCGAAAAUUGUUAUUACGCCCCAUGCUCCGCUGGAGACUACAUGACUGACACUGGAUGUCAGCAAUGUGGAGAGAAUACCUUCAGCAGCGAUAGAGCUUCUUCGUGCAUUGACUGUCCAAAUGGAAAGUUUUCGAAUGCUGGGUCAACAUCUGCCGAAAAUUGUUAUUACGCCCCAUGCUCCGCUGGAGACUACAUGACUGACACUGGAUGUCAGCAAUGUGGAGAGAAUACCUUCAGCAGCGAUAG